UCUGGUGGUUUGUCGGCAGGGAAACACCUGUUCCCAUUCCGAACACAGCCGUUAAGCCUGCUAGAGCCGAUGGUACUCGAAAGGGGAGAGUAGGCAGCCGCCAGGU
RNAcentral lists this ribosomal RNA (106 nucleotides) under bacterium. The record is from RNAcentral.